CAGUCUGGGCGGCUUUGGGGCCGAGAUUUAUCUCUGGAGGAAUUCCUAUAAGAUAUUCCCUCCUGUCCAGGUCCAGCCCCGGGAGCAUCGUUAGGGGAACUCGGGAAGUGUCCGCCUACGGGGAACCAGGCAGAAAGGAGCCCUGGAGGUGCCUGACAGUUCUCCGCCGGCAGGGCUGGAGACGGAGACCCUGAGCCGGCCCCUCCUCCCCAGGUGCCAAGAGUCGCCUGGCGUGCCGAGAAGCUUGGGUUCCUUCGACUUCAUUUUCCCUGGUCGCCCUGACGGCUCCUUCCUGACGAGAGAAGACGCUCGCAGCCCGCAGCCGAGGACCUCAGCCAGAGCUUAGGGCGGAAGAACUCGCUCCGAUGUUCAGGUAGGUGCAUUUCCCAUCCCAGCCACCAGACCUGUCUGCCAGGCGUUCCCAAAUCGCCUUUGCAUGUGAGUUCCUACAAGUUAAUUUCUUCCCAAACGGACGCCCUACUUGGAGAGGUUAUAAGUAUAACCGCAGCCCCCCACUAAAAGUACAGGCUGGGAGGGGCAUCUCAGUUGUCCUCCCUUUUUCUGUUUUCGAAGAGAAAGAGCAGCUGAAGUGUGGAUGCUGGGUGCGGGGGUGUGAACCUUCGCCCUGCCCCCGGGUGACCCUGCCAGGUCCCGGGGGGCAUCUGGUGGCUGGAACCCAGCAGAGCUCCCGGGGCUGAGCACCUGAACCGAAGAAGCCCAGGACCGGACCUGCUGGCCGGUCAGGGAGCGGCUGAGCCUCAGAGGGGAAAGGAGCGUGGGGGUGAGAGGCCCCCAUUCCACAGGUACUGUGCCCCCUCCCCUUCCAUUCUUGGUUUUCCCAAAAUAUCUGUACUUAGCGAUGCUGUGAGCAGCUUGCCCCGGCAGACUCCCUCGAAUGCCCUGCGGUGAAUAUCCUAGGCCAGGUCUUGCCCUCUCUGCCCGUCUCCACUGAGCCUCUUUUUAGCUCACGGUGCUGUUGCCUCGCUGAUUUGAAAAUAAACAUCACGGGAGCGCUCCACGCAGCGGCAGACUCCGCCGGCCUGGGGUCUCAGGUCAGCCUCGGGAGCUAACCACGUGGACAGAGGCUUCCUCAUCUCCCACCACCUUUCCCUUCGGGGGCGUUUAGGCCCAAGCAGGGCACGGGCCACAGUGCUGAGUUUUGUAAGGUUUCCCUCGGGAGGACGCUUCUGUGGACAAUUUCCUCAGCCUAGAGACACUCUGAGGAGCAUCUCGCCCUGCUGGGUGGGUGUUGACUAUUUCUGAUCUUCAGUAACGGGAAACAAUGUCUCCAUCAAACCACCGAAGAGAAAGGCACGCCUGGAAGAUAGCUUGCAAGGUAACUGGUGGAAUAGAGAGGAGUUAUUUUGUAUCUUUCUUGAAACCCUUUCCCUGCUCCGCAGGAUCCGGGAAGCCCCCGGCAGGGGCUUCUCGCGUUUCCUGCACCCGGAGCUUCUCUGGGGCCAAACAGAGCUUCCUCGCAGCUGCGUGGUGUUAGGUUCUGCGAAGCCACGUGAGGGUGAGGGACCCUCCAGGGCCAGAAGGCGACGCUGGGUCUCAGCCCUUGGUCAAACUCUGGAAACAGCUAUCUCAGUCCCCAGGGCCUGGAGGAGGCCGUGGUCACGAGGUCACCCCCCAACUUUUGAUCUUCUAUGCUAAUGUGGCAUCAUAACCGGUGGCUCUGACCACAGACGUGGAGAUGGGGCUCAUGCCCCCACUGGGGGCAGGCGGACCGGCCUUGCUCCACAGCCCCGGGAUUUCCAGCCUGGGGGCCCAAAGCAACUCGUUUGGCUGGGCUUCCUGCCUUCAAAUAAAUUUCAUGGUGCUCUUCUUUGUGUAAAAGGCUGCAGGGAAGACAGGGUGCACCCCCUUGAAGCGAGGCAGAGCUCUCCUGGGCUCUCUCUCAGCCUCAGAGGCAGAUCAGCAGUUUUGAAGAAAGUGGAGAUUUUUGGUUUUCCUCCUUUGUGAGGGCUACCCUUCUCCCAAGGCCCUUCCCCGUCACAGAUGUCAAAGUAAUAAUGGACUGGAAUCCCUUUUCCCCCGGCCCCUUCCAGCUUUUAUGUUUUUUGGAUGGGUUGAGAAAUUUGGGAAAGGGAGGAGAGAGGGUCAGAUUUUUAUACUCCCACUCCUCACAUCAUUAAGACCCAGAAAAUCUCAUAGAGUCCCUGUCACUAUCUGAGGACAGAAUGUAUCCACUUCCAAUGGGAGGGGCAGGUGGUUUCCUCUCACACUGAGUUCUAGGACUGGAAACUUCUUCUCCUUCUUCCAGGUUGCCUGAACCUCCAGGGCAGGCUUGGCAGUACACAGUCAGGUUGCUGACCGAAGUCUCUCCUUCCUGGGGUGCCUCCAGAGCUCCCAGAAUCGGCCCCUUCCGUUGGCAGAAGUGCAGUGUCUUGGUCUCAUUUGCCUUCAUAUCCGCCAGUAAAGCUGAGACAGAUAAGCAGUAAUGGGUAUGAUUCACGGUUAAGGGUAACCGUAGAGUCAAGUUCCGGUAUUUAAUGUUGCCCUUAAUACUAUCACAGAACAGUGGUGACAUCUCAAAAGUUGGGAUGCUGGGCAGCCAAAGCAGGGGGUAACCGACUGAAGGUUGCUCUCUCAGGUAGGCAGGCUGUGUGUGUGUGUGUGUGUGUGUGGGGUCUGCUCAGGCAUUCUAACCAGAAAUACUCACCUGCAGAGUCCCCCCACCCCUCCCCAGAGUCUCCUGAGAGAGCCCCAAGCAGAGCCUCAGUUUGACCUCCAACCAUAGUAACCAUUGGGGGUCACAGGCAGCAAACCAGGGCUGGGGUUGCUGGGGCUCUCAGAUUUGUUAGGCAUGGGGCACAGGCUAGGCAGAAGCUGGGGGUGCACAACUCAAGAUGUUAUCCUAAGGCUGUAGAUGAAGGAAGAGAGCUGUAGGGAGAGGAAGCGCAAGGCAGUGGAGACAACAAAUCCCUUCCAGACUUCUCCACCUGCCAUCCUUUCCCUUAUUGUCUUCUGCCAGUUCACUCAAUGUUAAAUCAUUCUCUUUCCCAAAUCAGCCAGCUUGGUGACUUUGGCUUGAGAUCAUAUUAUGUACACGUGCGCCAAAGGAGACCCGUUGGGUCCCUGCUUUUACGUUAUCGCUAAGUCUGAUUUCUGUCAGAGUUCCGCUUCUGUCUACCUGUAACCCUCCGUACCCUCCCUCUGGCUGAGUUUGUCCCUCUCUGCCUGUGCCAUGGAUUCUUCCCGUAGGUCACAGAGCGCUGCCCUCCGUGCUUGCCACUCCACGCAGCCGCUGAGGGGCUCGAAAGGCAGGAGUGAGGAGUGGUCUCCAGACUCUUGGCCCAGGGGCAGCCCCUUUGCCUCCUUCCUCCUCUAGCCCGGAGCCAUCUUCUCCACCUCUGCCCACCCUCCGCCCCUUCUUGGUUCAAGCCCAGAAACGCCUUGUAGUGUGUGGUACACUUCCCUCUCUUUGAGGGACAUCUGCCAACCGGCACAGUGGUGAUGACAGUUUCCAGAUGAUUUUCCAAAAGCAAAGAAAUCUGGGGGAGGAGAGCAUGGCAGUGGCCAAGCGCUGAGCAGGCUGAGCGUGGAGGUUCCGGAAGAGGCCUGGGAAGGUGGAGUUUCUUGGAACUCAAGGAUUCUUUUUCCCCCUUCAAUUCUGACUAGAGCCCAAGCCUGUAAUUGCUCUGUUUUCUCUUGAGUCUGAGUCUGCCCUGGGAACUUGGGUCUGAGGGCUGCAGGGAGGUACAAGGGCUUUUGCCUCCCUGGCUCCCCUCUCCAGCUCGGCCAGGCCUCAGUCUUGCUGCCACCCGUCUGGGCCGGCCCAGUGCUUUCAGGCAGAGAUGGAGGAAAACUCAACCAUCUCCUUCUUCUCCCUCUGGGCUUCUGCAUCCCAGUUUCACUUCUGCCAGUGAUUUGUAGUUAGGCAACCCAGAAGGUGGGGGUGAAGUUGCCUUGGAAACUGAAGAAUGAGAAAGAUUAGUUUCUCUUUUGAUUCCGAAAAAUCCGAGAUUGAUGUACUGACUUGCUUCCUAUGGUAAGAUUUUCUUUUGUCACAAAUUAGGCAGGCUUUCUUACAGUCCCUUCUUCUAACGCUUCUUUUCAGGGAAGCCUGUCUCUCCCAGGUAGAAGCUGUUCUCACCUACCGUUAUUUUGACCAAGAUGUGGGACUUAUUCAGAUUAUGGAGUAAAUGGCGAUUAAAGGUCACUAUGCUCUCCAUCAGAGGCAGCCGGAGUUUAAUAGGGGAUGCAGUUCAAGUACUAACCCCCCUGGGAAGACUGGGGCAUUCCCUAGAGAUUGAUACUUUCCUGUGUCCAAGGUCUUAUCAUGCUUUAUUUGGGCCUUUAUUACUCUGUCAUUUGUCCUUUGUAUAUGCGUCCUCACCACAGAACUCAUCUCCUCGAGGGGAAGCGCUCCUUUUAUCUGCUUUGUAUCCCUGGCCAAUUGCUGAAUUCGACUGAAAAAAUGUUCAUUGAGGGAAUGAAUAUCAACUUAGAAAAAAUCCUGGUUCAGUAGUACUGGAGAUUGAAUCCAGGACCUUCGCAUGGAGCUUCUCCCCUCCAAAACAAGAUCUCACUAAGUUGCCCAGGCUGGCCUCAAACUUAGGUUCUCUCUGCCUCAGCCAUCCAGAGUCCUGGGGUUACAGGUGUGCUGUAAUUUAGUCAAAGCAGUGACUAUCUACUGGUAGGAUUUUACAUAGGAGGGACCCCUGGGCCAGUUAACUAAAGAUGUCCUCUGGCUUCCCUCCGGAUGUGUCCUAUGGGCGGCUGCCUGUGUCACUGACAAACCUGUCCUUGUCCUGGUGCUUUGUGAAUUUCCUGCCCUCACUUCUUUCUAUAAGAAGGCAUGUUGGAGACAGUCCUUCGGAGAGUAUUUGGAGUGAUAGAUAGAGAGCUUUCAGAUCACAAUCUUUCUACAUUUCUGGUCUGGAUUUACAGGUUUUGAGAAAACAAUCAAACCACCAACUGAAAUUGUCAUUACCACAUCAGAACUUCUAAAACCCCUGGAACUCGCUACCUAAAUA
Heterocephalus glaber (naked mole-rat) is the source of this 4982-nucleotide non-coding RNA. The record is from RefSeq and is a predicted model, not a curated record. Lineage: Eukaryota; Metazoa; Chordata; Mammalia; Rodentia; Bathyergidae.